Molecule: ribosomal RNA, 254 nt
Filed under: uncultured bacterium
Lineage: Bacteria
Description: partial 16S ribosomal RNA
Rfam family: Bacterial small subunit ribosomal RNA
Source: RNAcentral
CACGUAGGCACCAAGCGUUGUCCGGAUUUAUUGGGCGUAAAGAGCUCGUAGGCGGUUCGAUAAGUCGGGUGUGAAAACUUUGGGCUCAACCCAAAGCGUGCAUUCGAUACUGUUGUGACUAGAGUUCGGUAGGGGAGUGGGGAAUUCCUAGUGUAGCGGUGAAAUUCGUAGAGAUUGGGUGGAACACCAGUGGCGAAGGCGCCUGUCUGGCUGACAACUGACGCUGAGACUCGAAAGCAUGGGGAGCAAACAGG